UACGUAGGGUGCAAGCGUUAAUCGGAAUUACUGGGCGUAAAGCGUGCGCAGGCGGUUAUGUAAGACAGGUGUGAAAUCCCAGGGCUUAACCUUGGAACUGCAUUUGUGACUGCAUAGCUAGAGUGUGGCAGAGGGAGGUGGAAUUCCACGUGUAGCGGUGAAAUGCGUAGAGAUGUGGAGGAACACCGAUGGCGAAGGCAGCCUCCUGGGCCAACACUGACGCUCAUGCACGAAAGCGUGGGGAGCAAACAGG
Molecule: ribosomal RNA, 253 nt
Filed under: uncultured bacterium
Lineage: Bacteria
Description: partial 16S ribosomal RNA
Rfam family: Bacterial small subunit ribosomal RNA
Source: RNAcentral